Molecule: ribosomal RNA, 548 nt
Filed under: uncultured Ascomycota
Lineage: Eukaryota; Fungi; Ascomycota
Description: SSU rRNA
Rfam family: Eukaryotic small subunit ribosomal RNA
Source: RNAcentral
UUCGCCCUUGGGCAAGUCUGGUGCCAGCAGCCGCGGUAAUUCCAGCUCCAAUAGCGUAUAUUAAAGUUGUUGUGGUUAAAAAGCUCGUAGUUGAACCUUGGGCCUGGCUGGCCGGUCCGCCUCACCGCGUGUACUGGUCCGGCCGGGCCUUUCCCUCUGUGGAACCCCAUGCCCUUCACUGGGUGUGGCGGGGAAACAGGACUUUUACUGUGAAAAAAUUAGAGUGCUCCAGGCAGGCCUAUGCUCGAAUACAUUAGCAUGGAAUAAUAGAAUAGGACGUGUGGUUCUAUUUUGUUGGUUUCUAGGACCGCCGUAAUGAUUAAUAGGGACAGUCGGGGGCAUCAGUAUUCAAUUGUCAGAGGUGAAAUUCUUGGAUUUAUUGAAGACUAACUACUGCGAAAGCAUUUGCCAAGGAUGUUUUCAUUAAUCAGGAACGAAAGUUAGGGGAUCGAAGACGAUCAGAUACCGUCGUAGUCUUAACCAUAAACUAUGCCAACUAGGGAUCGGACGGUGUUAUUUUUUGACCCGUUCGGCGCCUUACGGGAAAC